RNAcentral lists this long non-coding RNA (2571 nucleotides) under Takifugu rubripes (torafugu). RNAcentral's name for it is "lncRNA (ENSTRUG00000031834.1)". The record is from RNAcentral. Lineage: Eukaryota; Metazoa; Chordata; Actinopteri; Tetraodontiformes; Tetraodontidae.
UAGAAGAACCUCCAACAAUAAUAGUUUGGUGGCUUUGUUUUGCAGCAGUGACAGAAAUCCUUGACAGAAGUCACGCUCGCCUGGAACAGGAGCAGGCAGACGAAGAGUUUGCUCGAUAUUUGCAGGUAGGAAGAUGUGCCACCUAUAGAGGUUGGCUGGACUGAAAGAACACAGUUGGACAGAGUGAACAUGUAUCUGAUUCUUUCUUGUCCUUAAGGCCCAGUUUGAUGAAGAGCAAGCCAGCUCUCGCCAGCAGCAGAGGUCAUAUAGGGUAAGACCUGAGUCUGAACCGUGCUGUACAUUGCAAUAUCAUGCAGAAUUUCAAUUUCCUUUUAACCUUUUUUUCUGCACAGUACCACAGAUCUGUCCAUCACAACCUACGGCAGAGAGAACCUCAAAACAGUGAGUAAAUAAAGACAGCUUUACGACAUUUACACAGCACACAUCUAUGUAUACAUUUAUUUGGUGUUAGUUACAUCAGCUGCUAGCAAAAACAUACUUUUAAUCUAUCAUUAUUUUCCUUCUGCUCUUGUAUAAGUAUUGGAAAGUUUUUACAACACUGACAGCUGCUGCGACAUGCAGAAAGAAUUUAAAUCAAUGCAUUUUUUGAAAUUUAAGAUCGAGGAUGUAUGACCAGCAUGUUGAUCUAACCUUUGUUUGCUCAUCUGAUUGGCUGGGAGGGAAUAGGUGGCUUGGGCAGGUUCCCCCGCUCUCAAGAUCCUCUGGAAGGUGAUUACGAGGUGCGUACACGAACAGCUCUGGGCUCAUAUUCACCAUUCAGGCAUCUGGAUCCAGUGUGCCGAACUAAACAAGAAGCACAGUAACAUCUAUUUACUCUUUCAGGCCCUCCUGCAGUUUGAGGAGCAACAGGGUGCAGUCGUGGUCAGAAGUCUUAGUUCACAGGAAAUUUCAAGAUUUCCCACCAAAAAAUUUGGGAGUGGCACCUGUGCAGGAAGCGCUGUGUGUAACGUUUGCUUAUGUGAUUAUACUGAUGGGGAGACGCUGAGGACCCUGCCGUGCCUCCACAGCUAUCACAGGGACUGUAUUGACCACUGGCUCAAAGAUAACCCAGUAUGCCCAGUCUGCCGGACCGACCUGACUGACAGCGAAACCCUACACACCCAACACAGUUGACAUUAAACAAUGUCUUUAAAGGGCAAUUCAACCCUUUAAAAAAAACACUUUUAUUUGAUGUCAAAUUUUUAAAGAUUUUUUUCUCCUAGGUUUUUCCCCUUGUAUUUUGUUAGCAUUUUAUUCAGUCCUUGGUUUUUGACCUCCAACACCCCCAGUGAGCCCAAAUCCUUAAUCUGCUCUGGAUUCUGUAAUUACUUUUUUAAAAUGGUCCUGAACAUCAGUCCAUUCAACAUGUCUUUAGUAAUAAACCAAAAAUAAAUCAAAAUGUGGCAAAUGGUUUAAAUGAAGUCUACCACAUUUUAGGAACCCCUUGAAUGAAAGAGAUCCCCACUGUCCACUCCAUAGAGCUGAUGACAUGCAUCCUGUGUACUUCAUGAAAGAAGUUUAUUUACUGCCUCGGCUUGUGGUAAGAGUUGAUCACAAAAUGGUAUUUAGACUGGAAAUUGAGUUAAAGUCAGUUUGGUCCUGAUUGUUACGUGCGGUGUCCUACAGGGGUCAGUCUUGGGCCCCGAGUAGCUCAUCUUAUCCAUUCAUUCAACUUCUGUGAACCGCUGACUCCUACUACUGGUUUCUUCCCAGCAGGAACACCCAGGACACAAACAGCCUAAUGUACCUAUUUCUAUACCUUUAUGUGUCACUGUGUCUGUAUAUUGACUGUCAAGCGUGUCACAUGCUAUAAUUGUUUGCUUUGGAAAUGGUCCCAUAAUCAAGAAGGUCAAAAUGUGAAACCCAGCUCUGAACUAAUGAAUUGUUUAAAGGCUCGUAUGUCUUCCUUCGCUUCUUUUUUUUUUUUUUUUUUUUUUUUUGAAAACCAAAAUUGCUGAUUGUGGAUUUUCAUAAAACAUUUUUUCUCCCAGUAAUCAAAGGGGAUCUUGUUGAUUUCUGGGUAAAAGAACAAAACUUAUAAAUCCACUCCACUGCAGAUUGGCAAGGCUCACACAUCUGGGUUUGGACGGCCAAAAAAUAUAAAAGGCUCCCGUGAUGGUGUUUCCUACUUUGACUGUAUCAAUGGUUGAUAUUGCUAAUAAAUAACUGGUUUUAAUAUUUAGACUGACCAAUUAUUUUGUUGAUAUGUGACUCAAAUGCUCUUCCCUGUUUGCAACAUUAAAGCAACUUAUUCUGAGAGGGACCUAACCUUCCUUUGCUUAUUGUGCCAGAUUUCCAUUUGGAAAACAUUGAAACUGGGAAGAAUGGAGGUUUACAUGUAAUGGGAUAAAGUGUAUCUUCACAUAAUAAAUGAUGCAGAUGUGUAAAAUCCUAAUGAAUCUGCAGAACGGCAGAUAAUUGCCAGUAAAUCUAAGGUGAAAUACAGUUUAUAUUCAUUAAGAUAAUCAACACAUGGUUACCAUGAGAGUGGGUAGAUGGUAAAAUGGUUAAUUAAGAUGCAGCAUUUCCAGAUUUCAAAUCUGACAUGUUCUUGACAUUGCUGGUAACACA